UGGGCUGUGUCAGGAGCUGGAUGUGGCCAGGCUGCAUCAGGAGCACUGAGCACUGCUGAGAAUAACUGGCUCAUCUUCUGGAAACUGGCAGAGUGAAGCCUCCUGCACUACAGGACCAGCUGUGCAUAAACACCUGCAGAAAUGAACUUGCCUAACAUUCCAGAGGACUAAGCUGCCACCUGACCUGACAUUGCUGAUGGACAAAUAACAAGUCUGUAUUUACAGUGCCCUAAGCUAGCACAGAUACUGURUCUUCCUAGUAGAAGCUGUACUACUUAAGAGUGCCUUCAAAACAGAACUCAUGAACAUACUGUAAGUAUUUUUUAACAAAUACAGUCCACAAGAAAUGACAAGCUAUAAAAGUUGCUGGCUAGCUGCUUUCCAUCUGUUGCUAUGCAGCAAACUCRCAAAUUGAUUGGUGACAGCACACUAACUGAUGCCAUAAAAAUUCUU
Molecule: long non-coding RNA, 453 nt
Organism: Nothoprocta perdicaria
Lineage: Eukaryota; Metazoa; Chordata; Aves; Tinamiformes; Tinamidae
Exons: 2
Source: RefSeq, a predicted model, not a curated record